RNAcentral lists this transfer-messenger RNA (369 nucleotides) under Chitinophagaceae. Its description in RNAcentral is "Flavipsychrobacter sp020636505 Standard tmRNA". It matches the Rfam family "transfer-messenger RNA". Rfam says of the family: Bacterial tmRNA, also known as 10Sa RNA or SsrA, is named for its dual tRNA and mRNA-like properties. Its role is to liberate the mRNA from a stalled ribosome. RNAcentral also lists the same sequence under 2 other names. Lineage: Bacteria; Pseudomonadati; Bacteroidota; Chitinophagia; Chitinophagales. The record is from RNAcentral.
GGGGCCGACCGGUUUUGACAGCAUAGAGUCGGUUAUGUAAGCAUGUCGUGCGUUGGAUAAUUAGCACGUAAAUCUGAAUAUUCGAACUUUCAAAUGGCGAAUACAAUUACGCCAUGGCUGCCUAAUUAGAUUAGUGCAACCAUUUUGGCCGCAGAGGGCUUUUGCCUGUUGACGCCACUGCCGCCUAACUCAUCCUUCAACAGGAUAGCAAUUGUACUGCCACGAUACGAUUGUGAAACUUAAGUGGCUAGGUCAGUGAUAGGUUCGUCCGGCUCCGGUCAUUGUCCGAAAUUAAAUUCCGGAAUAAGCAUGUAGAAAGCAUAUCGGGCAUAUGUUUGGACGCGGGUUCGAAUCCCGCCGGCUCCACUU